Molecule: long non-coding RNA, 495 nt
Organism: Eriocheir sinensis (Chinese mitten crab)
Lineage: Eukaryota; Metazoa; Arthropoda; Malacostraca; Decapoda; Varunidae
Exons: 4
Source: RefSeq, a predicted model, not a curated record
AACACAGACACAAACACACUCACUCCCGCUCUCAAGAUCAAGUUCAAGUUCAAACCACUCUGCCGCCCUUGGGCGCUGUGGGCUGCUCCGCCACGAGGGUGCCCGCACACCUCAUGGCUGUUUCCAGACUUUUGAUCCCUGCACUCCUUCCUGUGUCCUGUGGUUCUCUACACUCUUGAUGUUUACCAGGAAACAUUGAGGACAACAGAAGAGGAGUUGGUUAAGUAGGAAACAAGGCCACAAACAGCACUGCGGCAGCACCGUCCCUGCAGCCUUCCAGGGUCUCCUGGAGCCUUUGUUACCAGUGUGUGUUGAUGUGACAAGCUCCAGUGACAAAGUGGAAGGCAGGAAGGGUGUGGCCAGGCAUGGCUCAGGAUGCUGUGUGGCUGCCGGCCACAUCUGUUGCUGCUGCAGUGAGGGCCUGAGGCUGGUGCUGUGCUCAGCGCUCACUCUCUCCUCACUGCCUCUGUCUCCAGGACUCCCCAGUGCAUUGCU